GCUAUUUCUUGGGCCUCUCCUGCGGCAUAUGGAGGUUGCCAGGCUAGGCGUCCAAUCGCAGCCGUAGCCACCGGCCUAUGCCAGAGCCACAGCAACGCGGGAUCCGAGCCGCGUCUGCAACCUACGCCAGCCACAGCUCACGGCAACAACAACGGAUCGUUAACCCACUGAACAAGGGCAGGGACCGAACCCGAAACCUCAUGGUUCCUAGCCGGAUUCGUUAACCACUGCGGCACGAUGGGAACUCCUGUUUUUUUUUAUAUAUGUCUAAUAUUUCUCACCGAUUACAAAUCUACAACCCAAGAGCAAUAAAAUGUAUACUACUAGAGCAAAAACAUGAUUUUAAAAUAAACAUCCUUUCCUAAAAAUUUGCAUCUUUUUCUCAUCCAUGCCACUCAACUGCUAGUGAAAAUUUAGGUGGGAUUAUCACCUUUAGCUAAGUGCUUUGGUAUACCAAACAUUAGCUAGCUAAUAUGAUACUAAACAGACAAUGAAACAUGACCUGAUUCUACAUUACAAACAUAUAUGUAUCCAUUAUUUUUCUUAUGUUUCCAUGGAGCUUUUACAGUGGUAAAAAAGUGUGUUCCCUUGAUAAGCAGCUUCUUCAGAUAUAGAAAAAAAUAGGUGAAAAGUACCACAUUUGAUACAGUGAUAGAGUGAGCCUGCUAUGUAAUUGUCAAGAGUGACUGUAAGUAUAAUUACUACUGAGGUUGUAAAAAAAAAACAAAAAAACAAAAAAACAAAAAAAACCCUACAUCUUUCCGUUUUUUUAAAUUUCAGAGCAAAAGAUACUUAUUUCUCUCAUGUUAUUCAUCAUCACUUUGUCUUCAGUCUUUUAUAAACAGAACAUCAGAAACAGAUAUAUUGAAAAAUAGAUUUAAGAUCACCAAAGACCAUAACUUUCAUUUCUAACAGAUCAACAUAAAUAGUUACUAAUAAAGUUUUUAGAGACAGAUGAUAAUCUUCAACAUAAAAUCUUCCAUGAUAACCUAUGUAAAUGUUCCCACUUUCCUGACGAAAAAAAGUAAUAUAACUAAAAUAUCCAUGCCACAUUACCUAUCAUACUGAUUUCCAAGUUCCAAAUGAUUCAAGAUAGUCAUACAAAAACGAAAUGCCUUUACUAAAUAUUUUCCUACCAUUAUUCUUUCAAAAUUGUAACAGUUAAUUCAUUUGAUGAGAAGUUAAAAUAGACUGCCUACCACAUUUGCCAAAUUCAUGGCUGAGAUAAAGAUUACAAAAACACCUAGAAGAUGAAAGGUUUCAAAGUAGUAUAACUAUUAUCUUUCAAUAGAUUAUCAAAGAUGUCACCAGAAAGUCAAAGACUUUACAAACAACAUAUUUACCAAAAUACUAACAUAUUAUAAAAGGUGUGCGUGGGUAGAUAAUAUUUUCCUCUAACCUCUGUAAAACAGAUUUAGAUUAAAUACUGAAAACCACUAUUAUGAAGCAUGGAGAGGAAACAAGCCCUCUAACUUUAAGAAAACCACAAAUUAUAACUCACAAAACCAAUUUUAAGUGUGGCCUCAAUUCAAUUUUCUUAACUACUUAAGAAUAAUUUUACGUAUAGCAAAGCUUCAAUACUUGGAAGUUCUACAAGACAAAACUAUGCAACACAGUUUCAUUUUUCUAGGUCUGUGUGUGUGCACACACGUGAGCACACACACACACAAAUCACCUGCAAUGUUAAGACCACAAAUAUUAAGUUGUUUGUAAUAAAAUCACAAACUGAAGUCCCCUUUCUCUGAUUCUUCUCCAUGUUUGCAGGCUCAAACAUAGUAGCCAAUACUUACACCAAUAACUUUUCAAGUAAAAGCCUCAGUUAUUUGACUUCAAAUACUCAUUUAUCACCAAAUCCUACUGUCCUCUGCUACCACUUCUCCCAAAUCUGCAACUCCCUUUCCAUUCCGUCAUCUACAUCUUUAUUCCUGACCCUAGAGUUUCCCCCCUAAACUACAGUACCUCAUUCUUACGAGAUAGUUUCCCUAGACUGUCCUUCAUUCUACUACCAAAAUGACCUACUCUCCCUGACAUUCUGCUCAUACCACCUACCUAUCCCUACCUGGGCAUUCCAGGGCUUUUGCAUUACAUUUUUAUUCUCUCAAGAAUCUUAACCUCACCAACAUACUCACUUAUAAGGUUGCCACUGAUUUUUAAUUCCCCUUGAAAAUGUCAGUUUCUUCUUACCUCCUAUAAAGGUACCAAAUUCUCCCUUCAGGUAACCACAUUUGCUCCUAUUCCAACUGAGUGUGGAAUACUUUUUAUAUUUAGCUCUCAAUUGCACAAGUAAUUUAUUUAGAAAAUUUUAGCACAGUGAUUGCAUACACUGUUUCCUUAAGCUAUUUGCAUACCAAUGUUAUCCCUAGUGAGCUGCAGAGAUACAGAGGUACAUCUGCAUCUUUCAAAAUAUUCUGUACAACAACUAUCUACAAUGUCACUUGACCCAGGUAAGAUGAUUCCCUAAAUAAAACUAUUACAGAAAGCUUAAGUAAACAAACAAUUUUAAAUCUCUAUGGUUUAACUUUAAAAUACUAUGACCUUUCAUUCCCAUGGGUAGCUGACAUACUUGGUUCUAUUAAGCUUGACUCUCACUACUCUACUAAUUUUCAAAGCAUAGCCAAAGUUUAAAGUGCAAGUUGAGGGUUGAUAUAGGAUAUAAACUUUUACAUCCUGCUAUGAGAUUCUCUGAAAAUCAUCCAUGUCAACUCCAAGACUCCUGAGAUAUAACUGAAUCUUUGCACAAGACAACCGCUUCAGCAACAAAAGAAGAGAACAGCGCAUCUUCUGAUGGGGGGGGGGGGGCCCCAUUCCCUUCAAUUAGGUUGACCAGUUUCUCUAUUGCAGGGCCUUUCGAUUAGGGAAAUUCAAUAACAUUAACCAUUAACAAUUGGAAAGAACAUCAUUUACUUAAAGGACAGGAAGGGGUACCUCGGAAAUCUUUUUCAUAAAACUCAGCAGUCAAAUUAAACUCUGCAUUCUCUAUCUUACCAGCUAUGUUUUCUACCUAAUAAUAAAAGCAAGUCACAUUCAAUUUAGUCCCUUCUCGAGCACCGUUUCAACCUGUCAGAAUCUGACAAGGGGAAAAAAAUUUUUUAAGUGUGUGUGUGUGUGUGUGUGUGUGUGUGUGUGUGCGCGCGCGCGCGCGCGCCCGCGUGGCUGGGCAAGGGGGAAGAAUACUAGGAUUCCCGUCUACACGGUUUCUUUUUCCGAAAUCACAUCAGUUAAGUCUUGGAUUUCCUUCACUCCGAACUAAGCCCUCAGGUUCCAAAUAUAGUUAUUUAACCCCCACCUCGCCACUCAAUUACAUAUAAACCUUGCCAAGAGAACCACAGCAGAAACCCCUACAAAUCGGCUUGCUAUUCAUCUCGGGAGUCAUGCCCUGCAGCAACUGCCUGUCGCCGUACUGAGGGAUAUUACCCAAACACAACGCAACAGAAUCAGACAUGCAGAGCACACACGGCUUCCGUGAGGGAGGGAAACGCGACCGGGGAAAAGUGCGCUUCUUCACAAGCCUCUGGACCAUCCGGAGGGGGGCGGGGGGGGGUGGUUCCCAGAAGGAGGGGGACAGAGGAGCCAGAGUCGGGGACUCCUUCCCUCUCAAGUAAAAGGGCUGAUUCCCGGCCGCAGGCUACAACGGGUCCCUCCAAAGAAACGAAGAAGCGGGCAGAGGGCCCUUUGCUCAGGAAGGCGGAAUGCAGACACUUUCCAAGGUCCGGGUGCUAGCGGAUCCCUACCUCCCAGGGGAGACGAGGGGUGUCCCAUGGGUGGCUGAGGGGAUGUCCGGCUCGCGAGGGGCAGUCUGAGGCGAAGCAGAGUUUCGUCUAGUGAACACCCAUGUCGUGUCCGGUCGGUGCCCGGCCAAAGCACGGCUAGAGCGGCGCCGGGCCGCCUAGGUGGGGGGAAGGGAGAGGAGGGAGGGGGUGGAAAUGGGAUUCCCCCCUCUCUGCGACCAGCUUUAGCGAAGAAAGCGCGCGAGCCAGCGAGAGCGGCGUGCUUCAGACUGCGGAGCCGGGAUCCGGCCGCCUGCACCGGCAGCACGGAGCCCCGCAGCGCCCGCCGCACCGGCCCUUCUGUCCCCAGGGGCCGGGGACUUCGGCUGAGAAGGCACUGGGGCCUGACACCCCACGGGGUUGGCCGCAGCUCCCGGGGGGGCCCCGCGGGAACACCCCAACCUCAAGCAAUUCUCAACGGUUGUAAAACGCGCCCCCCCACGACCCCCUCCUCACCCUUCCCUCCUCCCGAGGCCUUAGAGAAGGGUCAUCACAGGCGAGAAGCCUUAGGUAAGCCGGAGACAGUGACCGCGGCGGUCCUGGACGCCCUCCCCUGGUUACCUGUGAGGACUCCGACCCGGAUUUGAUGGUCGUGGUUAGUGAGGAUCAUUCCCUCGGUCGCCAUGUUUCCCAGCGCAGUCACCG
RNAcentral lists this long non-coding RNA (4412 nucleotides) under Sus scrofa (pig). RNAcentral describes it as "lncRNA (ENSSSCG00050068411.1)". The record is from RNAcentral. Lineage: Eukaryota; Metazoa; Chordata; Mammalia; Artiodactyla; Suidae.